RNAcentral lists this ribosomal RNA (420 nucleotides) under uncultured archaeon. RNAcentral describes it as "partial 16S ribosomal RNA". It matches the Rfam family "Archaeal small subunit ribosomal RNA", at positions 323 to 746 of the family's 1478-position model. The record is from RNAcentral.
CUACGGGAGGCUCCAGUCGAGAAUCUUUUACAAUGCGCGCAAGCGUGAUAGAGCGAACCAGAGUGCUUCUCAUCGAGAAGCUUUUGUGAAAUCUGAAAAGUUUCACGAAUAAGGACUGGGUAAGACGAGUGCCAGCCGCCGCGGUAAUACUCGCGGUCCAAGUCGCAGCCAUUUUUAUUGGGUCUAAAACAUCCGUAGCUUGUUUGAUAAGUUUCCUGUGAAAUUCUAUAUCUUAAGUAUAGAGCGAGCGAGAAAUACUAUUAAACUAGAGACUGGAAGACGUAAGAAGUACGUUCGAAGUAGCGGUAAGAUGUGUUAAUCUCGGACGGACUCACAACAGCGAAGGCAUCUUACGAGGACAGUUCUGACAGUAAAGGAUGAAGGCUAGGGGCGCAAAACGGAUUAGAUACCCUCGUAGUC